AAUGAACGUUGGCGGCGUGGAUUAGGCAUGCAAGUCGAGCGCGAACCCCGCAAGGGGUGAAAGCGGCGAAAGGGAGAGUAACGCGUGGGUAUCUGCCCUCGGGACUGGGAUAGCUGCGGGAAACUGCAGGUAAUACCAGAUGACGUCCCCGGACCAACGGUGUGAUUCCGCCUGAGGAUGAGCCCUCGUCCUAUUAGCUAGUUGGUAGGGUAAUGGCCUACCAAGGCAAUGAUGGGUACUGGGUGUGAGAGCACGACCCAGCUCACUGGGACGGAAACACUGCCCAGACACCUAGUGGUGGCUGCAGUCGAGAAUCUUCGGCAAUGGGCGAAAGCCUGGCCGGGCGACGCCGAGUGUGGGAUGAAGGCCUUCGGGUUGUAAACCGCUGUCAGAGGGGAGGAAUGGGCGGAGGGUAAUCUCUUCGUUUUGGCCUAUCCUCAGAGGAAGUACGGGCUAAGUUCGUGCCAGCAGCCGCCGUAA
Molecule: ribosomal RNA, 480 nt
Filed under: uncultured bacterium
Lineage: Bacteria
Description: partial 16S ribosomal RNA
Rfam family: Bacterial small subunit ribosomal RNA
Source: RNAcentral